RNAcentral lists this ribosomal RNA (1461 nucleotides) under Escherichia coli. RNAcentral describes it as "bacterial SSU rRNA". It matches the Rfam family "Bacterial small subunit ribosomal RNA". Lineage: Bacteria; Pseudomonadati; Pseudomonadota; Gammaproteobacteria; Enterobacterales; Enterobacteriaceae. RNAcentral also lists the same sequence under 1 other name. The record is from RNAcentral.
GCUGACGAGUGGCGGACGGGUGAGUAAUGUCUGGGAAACUGCCUGAUGGAGGGGGAUAACUACUGGAAACGGUAGCUAAUACCGCAUAACGUCGCAAGACCAAAGAGGGGGACCUUCGGGCCUCUUGCCAUCGGAUGUGCCCAGAUGGGAUUAGCUUGUUGGUGGGGUAACGGCUCACCAAGGCGACGAUCCCUAGCUGGUCUGAGAGGAUGACCAGCCACACUGGAACUGAGACACGGUCCAGACUCCUACGGGAGGCAGCAGUGGGGAAUAUUGCACAAUGGGCGCAAGCCUGAUGCAGCCAUGCCGCGUGUAUGAAGAAGGCCUUCGGGUUGUAAAGUACUUUCAGCGGGGAGGAAGGGAGUAAAGUUAAUACCUUUGCUCAUUGACGUUACCCGCAGAAGAAGCACCGGCUAACUCCGUGCCAGCAGCCGCGGUAAUACGGAGGGUGCAAGCGUUAAUCGGAAUUACUGGGCGUAAAGCGCACGCAGGCGGUUUGUUAAGUCAGAUGUGAAAUCCCCGGGCUCAACCUGGGAACUGCAUCUGAUACUGGCAAGCUUGAGUCUCGUAGAGGGGGGUAGAAUUCCAGGUGUAGCGGUGAAAUGCGUAGAGAUCUGGAGGAAUACCGGUGGCGAAGGCGGCCCCCUGGACGAAGACUGACGCUCAGGUGCGAAAGCGUGGGGAGCAAACAGGAUUAGAUACCCUGGUAGUCCACGCCGUAAACGAUGUCGACUUGGAGGUUGUGCCCUUGAGGCGUGGCUUCCGGAGCUAACGCGUUAAGUCGACCGCCUGGGGAGUACGGCCGCAAGGUUAAAACUCAAAUGAAUUGACGGGGGCCCGCACAAGCGGUGGAGCAUGUGGUUUAAUUCGAUGCAACGCGAAGAACCUUACCUGGUCUUGACAUCCACGGAAGUUUUCAGAGAUGAGAAUGUGCCUUCGGGAACCGUGAGACAGGUGCUGCAUGGCUGUCGUCAGCUCGUGUUGUGAAAUGUUGGGUUAAGUCCCGCAACGAGCGCAACCCUUAUCCUUUGUUGCCAGCGGUCCGGCCGGGAACUCAAAGGAGACUGCCAGUGAUAAACUGGAGGAAGGUGGGGAUGACGUCAAGUCAUCAUGGCCCUUACGACCAGGGCUACACACGUGCUACAAUGGCGCAUACAAAGAGAAGCGACCUCGCGAGAGCAAGCGGACCUCAUAAAGUGCGUCGUAGUCCGGAUUGGAGUCUGCAACUCGACUCCAUGAAGUCGGAAUCGCUAGUAAUCGUGGAUCAGAAUGCCACGGUGAAUACGUUCCCGGGCCUUGUACACACCGCCCGUCACACCAUGGGAGUGGGUUGCAAAAGAAGUAGGUAGCUUAACCUUCGGGAGGGCGCUUACCACUUUGUGAUUCAUGACUGGGGUGAAGUCGUAACAAGGUAACCGUAGGGGAACCUGCGGUUGGAUCACCUCCUUACCUUAAAGAAGC